CUUACUGGUUAGGUAACGUGUAAUCGAUAUUUUGAAAUGUAUUAUUUAUUUUAUUAUUUUUUGAGUUUCGUUAUGAAAGGAUAGAGAGAGAGAUGAUUGUGGCUCCGUGGGCCGAAUUAGGGGCCCAUCAUUUGUUAUUUGAUGGUUUUUAUUUUGUUAAAAGCAUUUUAUUUUGAGUUAGCUUCUUCUCCACGCACGAUCCAACGGCUAUAAGUACGGAGUCGCUUCUGUUUGGUUAGAGAAACGUCGCCUCAAACGUUAGUAGCUCUUCCUCUCCAGCCUUCUUCUCCUCCUCCUCUGUGGCCUUCAUCAUUCGCUUUUCUUUUCCGAUCUCAUUUAUGGGUUUCCAGUUAGGGUAUUCUCUUCUUCGCUCUCUCGCUCAUUAUCAGUCGAUUAUCGAUGUUGGAAGUACGUAAAAUCAUAUUGCAAUCUUCUUCUUCUUGGUCUGAUCUCGCAGGUUCUAAUCGCACUGGCUCCCGGUUUGGAGUUUUCUCAAUUCCGAUGGAACUCUUAUUUGUUGCCUUUGUCCUCGAUUGAACAAUCCGCUACUUUUUUAUGCCGAAACAAAAAUUUCCUUGGAUUUUGAACUCACCUUCCAGUUCUCUCGUCUCUGUCUUCGAAGCCCUAAAUCCUCCUUUCGAUUAGAUCCUACCGGAACCCUAAAUCAUUCAUUUGAUCACAUCCCGAUGGAAGUUUAAAUCGGUUAGAUCCCACCGUGACCAUAAAUGGUUCUUUUGUUCAUCUCCCCUAUACCUCAUGAAACGAUAAUGCCCUCCUCCCACGUCCGAAAAUCUAUGGAAACCACAAUCUCAUAAUAUUGGAACGGCCAAUAUCUCUGAUCCAAAGUUGGCCGCUUUGAAACUCGAUCACCCAGGAUGAGAUGUCGACAGAGUGGAGGCGUUCGCAUCGACCGCAGUGAAGUUUGCCAAUUGAUUAAAAAUUUUUAACGUCAUCCCAUCCCAUGGCAUCAUCCUGAGAUCUUUCGACACAGGAGGCUAUUGGAGUCUCUGUGGAAUGGAUCCGGGAUCAAUGCCACUGAAAUAGUUUCUGCACAUUCCUGUUGUGUGUGGAUAAUGAUCCUUCCUGCCUCGGAAAAGAUGAUUCCGACUUGCUACUGUCAAAAUGCAGAACAAAGUGGGAAUGAUCACCGAGCUUUACAUUCCAAGGAAGAAGGUGUAUGCAACGAAAUUUGCAAAAAAUAUUUGUCGUUAUUUUCUU
Molecule: non-coding RNA, 1218 nt
Organism: Momordica charantia (bitter melon)
Lineage: Eukaryota; Viridiplantae; Streptophyta; Magnoliopsida; Cucurbitales; Cucurbitaceae
Source: RefSeq, a predicted model, not a curated record